This 492-nucleotide ribosomal RNA is filed under the name uncultured bacterium. Its description in RNAcentral is "partial 16S ribosomal RNA". It matches the Rfam family "Bacterial small subunit ribosomal RNA", at positions 29 to 507 of the family's 1533-position model. The record is from RNAcentral.
AGUGAACGCUGGCGGUAGGCCUAACACAUGCAAGUCGAACGGCAGCACAGUAAGAGCUUGCUCUUACGGGUGGCGAGUGGCGGACGGGUGAGGAAUACAUCGGAAUCUACUUUUUCGUGGGGGAUAACGUAGGGAAACUUACGCUAAUACCGCAUACGACCUACGGGUGAAAGCAGGGGAUCUUCGGACCUUGCGCGUUUGAAUGAGCCGAUGUCGGAUUAGCUAGUUGGCGGGGUAAAGGCCCACCAAGGCGACGAUCCGUAGCUGGUCUGAGAGGAUGAUCAGCCACACUGGAACUGAGACACGGUCCAGAGUCCUACGGGAGGCAGCAGUGGGGAAUAUUGGACAAUGGGCGCAAGCCUGAUCCAGCCAUACCGCGUGGGUGAAGAAGGCCUUCGGGUUGUAAAGCCCUUUUGUUGGGAAAGAAAAGCAGCAGGUUAAUACCCCGCUGUUCUGACGGUACCCAAAGAAUAAGCACCGGCUAACUUCGUG